Molecule: ribosomal RNA, 460 nt
Filed under: uncultured bacterium
Lineage: Bacteria
Description: partial 16S ribosomal RNA
Rfam family: Bacterial small subunit ribosomal RNA
Source: RNAcentral
CCUACGGGAGGCAGCAGUGAGGAAUAUUGGUCAAUGGACGAGAGUCUGAACCAGCCAAGUAGCGUGAAGGAUGACUGCCCUAUGGGUUGUACACUUCUUUUAUAAGGGAAUAAAACGAGGCACGUGUGCCUUUUUGCAUGUACUUUAUGAAUAAGGCUCGGCUAACUCCGUGCCAGCAGCCGCGGUAAUACGGAGGAUCCGAGCGUUAUCCGGAUUUUUUGGGUUUAAAGGGAGCGUAGAUGGGUUGUUAAGUCAGUUGUGAAAGUUUGCGUCUCAACAGUAAAAUUGCAAUUGAUACUGGCAGUCUUGAGUACAGUUGAGGGAGGCGGAAUUCGUGGUGUAGCGGUGAAAUGCUGAGAUAUCACGCAGAACUCCGAUUGCGAAGGCAGCUUACUAAACUGUCACUGACAUUGAUGCUCGAAAGUGUGGGUAUCAAACAGGAUUAGAUACCCUAGUAGUC